ACAACGAAGAGUUUGAUCCUGGCUCAGGAUGAACGCUAGCGACAGGCUUAACACAUGCAAGUCGAGGGGCAGCGGGGUGUAGCAAUACACUGCCGGCGACCGGCGCACGGGUGCGUAACGCGUAUGCAACCUUCCUUCAAGCGGGGGAUAAUCCGGCGAAAGCCGGUCUAAUACCCCAUAACACAGGGGCGCCGCCUGGCGAUAUUUGUUAAAGGAGCAAUCCGCUUGAAGAUGGGCAUGCGUUCCAUUAGAUAGUUGGUGAGGUAACGGCUCACCAAGUCUUCGAUGGAUAGGGGUUCUGAGAGGAAGGUCCCCCACACUGGUACUGAGACACGGACCAGACUCCUACGGGAGGCAGCAGUGAGGAAUAUUGGUCAAUGGCCGGAAGGCUGAACCAGCCAAGUCGCGUGAAGGAUGAAGGAUCUAUGGUUCGUAAACUUCUUUUAUGGGGGGGUAAAACGGGGGACGUGUCCCUCUUUGCAAGUACCUCAUGAAUAAGCAUCGGCUAACUCCGUGCCAGCAGCCGCGGUAAUACGGAGGAUGCGAGCGUUAUCCGGAUUUAUUGGGUUUAAAGGGUGCGUAGGUGGAGAUUUAGGUCAGCGGUGAAAGUU
Molecule: ribosomal RNA, 611 nt
Filed under: Tannerellaceae bacterium
Lineage: Bacteria; Pseudomonadati; Bacteroidota; Bacteroidia; Bacteroidales; Tannerellaceae
Description: bacterial SSU rRNA
Rfam family: Bacterial small subunit ribosomal RNA
Source: RNAcentral